This is a non-coding RNA of Camelina sativa (false flax), 892 nucleotides long. The record is from RefSeq and is a predicted model, not a curated record. Lineage: Eukaryota; Viridiplantae; Streptophyta; Magnoliopsida; Brassicales; Brassicaceae.
AAGAAAAAAAUGGUUGUGAGUUUAGAGGAAGUGGAAUAGGGUAGAUAGAUUAUUAUUUCUCUCUAAUUUGCUACCAUUAUAACACCUUUCAUCUAACCCGUUUAACAUUUAACAACGUUUGUUCCACUUUCUAAUUUUGUUUCAAAUCUAUACUUCUUCAGUUCUUUCUUAACAUAUUGCAUUAUGCUUUCUAUUGAAUCAUAAUGACAUCCGAGGCUAUUUUGCCUAAAUAUACCAAUUAGCAAUAGAGUUUCCACCCAACCCUCAUCCAUAUUAAAGCAAUACUCAUUAUGUUUUGAUGAAUGUAACGAGAAAGAAGCUUUUGUUGUGUGGGCCUGUCUGUGUAAAUGCAUAAUUGUUACGAAAACUGCAAGGUGUCUAAAACCUCUUUGAACAAGGAAUUUUUGGUGAUGAGUUGUUUUUUGGAGCAAACUAGGUAAAUGGCAAUGCUGGGAUGGUGUGAGUGAACCCUUGAAAGAUCUCGUUACGAUUAGUAACUUGUUGGCUGGUCAACACCUAUUUGAAUACUACUGUAGACUGUAGUUCUAAAACCAAUGAAAUGGCCAGGCUAGCAACAUCUCUUUCCAGACCGCAAAACGCAAACGCGUAAGUGCAGUUGCGACUCGAAUCGACUAGAGGGUGAUAAAGAAUCGAUUUAUUCUCAGAACAGACAAGAGCUUAUACAAGAUGGAUUUAAAAACAAACAGAUAUUUACAUCCGACCACAAACCAAAAUUAAAGAGCCUAACAUAAGUCGUCACCGUGAAGUCUCGAAUACAUGGCACUGCGAAUCUCUCUACCAGUCGCUUCUCCAUGUUCGAACCGUAAUACCCAAAUGUUCAGAAGACCUCAAGUAUGGUGAAGGCAAAGUAUGUUCUUGUUGGAAAUGGACG